AACGCGAAGAACCUUACCAGGUCUUGACAUCGAUCUAAAGGCCCUGGAGACAGGGAGAUAGUCAUAGAGAAGACAGGUGGUGCAUGGUUGUCGUCAGCUCGUGUCGUGAGAUGUUGGGUUAAGUCCCGCAACGAGCGCAACCCUUAUUGUUAGUUGCCAUCAUUAAGUUGGGCACUCUAGCGAGACUGCCGUUGACAAAACGGAGGAAGGCGGGGACGACGUCAAAUCAUCAUGCCCCUUAUGUCCUGGGCUACACACGUAAUACAAUGGUGGUAAACAGAGGGAAGCAAAGCCGCGAGGCGGAGCAAAUCCCUAAAAGCCAUCUCAGUUCGGAUUGCAGGCUGCAACUCGCCUGCAUGAAGCUGGAAUUGCUAGUAAUCGCGGAUCAGCAUGCCGCGGUGAAUACGUUCCCGGGUCUUGUACACACGC
RNAcentral lists this ribosomal RNA (429 nucleotides) under uncultured Pseudoflavonifractor sp. RNAcentral's name for it is "bacterial SSU rRNA". It matches the Rfam family "Bacterial small subunit ribosomal RNA", at positions 958 to 1393 of the family's 1533-position model. The record is from RNAcentral. Lineage: Bacteria; Bacillati; Bacillota; Clostridia; Eubacteriales; Oscillospiraceae.